AUGAAUAUUCAUUAGCCGGGCGGUGCUGCGGGCAGGGCGGCGGUUACAACACAGUGGCAGUUGAAGUGCUAAGUGCUAAUUUUAAUACACAGAAAAAGACCUGUAACGGGCAAACGGCGUUGCGGACCCAGGCAAGCAGGUCCAUCUGGAAUUACGCUCUUCACUUGUAGAAAUUCAUCUGGCUCAUCACCCCCAAUAAUGACAGGUCAAUGGUGCUUCAGUGUUUAGACUGGACAGAUUCAGAAGAGAAGAAUAAUUCUGACAACUGGGAGAUGAAUUGCCCCUUGAGGAGUGGUAUUGGAGGGAUAUAUUGGACUGAUUCUAACACUGACUGUUUUAGCAAUUUCUAAUUAGCGUUCUCACAGACUACCUCAUCAUCCUUUCCUGUACCAAAGAACUACUCCGAAUUCUGACUAACAUUAACAGUUAUGGCCACACCUUGGUACACCACCAGUAGCAUUGCUACAGGGUGGCAAGGGAACAAUUCCCCCCCCCCCCCCCGGUUAUCCUUUGCCCUCCUGCAGAGAACCAGGAUCCAGGCACACUUGCAGGGCAGGGGGAAGCCCAUUCAGACGGAUCAACAGAAGCUUCCCUUGGUUUUUCUAAGAGCUGAGGAACGUGCUCUCGAAUCACCCAUAGUGCAAGAAAAAGUGCAAACGUGUUACACUAAAAAAACGUGCACAAAGGAUGCGGUCUAUUGUAAGCCCUUCUCCGACAGGAGAGAGGCCCCCCAACAAACCCUACCCUUUGCCUCCGGACCAAAAGGUACCUGCGAGGUUCCAGGCUCAAUGUCCCUUUUUUCGCCGAAGCUACUAAGGGUCCACAAAUGCUCCCGGCAUCCCCCUUGGCAUUAGCUAAGGUAUUUGCCCGCAGAGCCGAUAACGGUCGGUGAACUACCCUGGGGUUUUUGCAGGGAGGUGCGGAACCUAAUGGCGACACACACCUCCCCUAGACCGCUAGGAGGGACACCCAGAAGGGCUACCGCAUCCUAACAAUCCUGUGAACACACAACACGCAAAAAGUGACACAGUGACAAAAAGGAAAUAAAUACGUUAAUGUGUGCAGAUAUACUGCCCGGAUCUAUAAAAAUUUCACUCGUCAUUGCGCCGCUCAGGGCAUAGC
This is a long non-coding RNA of Hyla sarda, 1122 nucleotides long. RefSeq lists it as uncharacterized. The record is from RefSeq and is a predicted model, not a curated record. The transcript is spliced from 3 exons. Lineage: Eukaryota; Metazoa; Chordata; Amphibia; Anura; Hylidae.